This 905-nucleotide ribosomal RNA is filed under the name uncultured bacterium. RNAcentral's name for it is "bacterial SSU rRNA". It matches the Rfam family "Bacterial small subunit ribosomal RNA", at positions 8 to 910 of the family's 1533-position model. The record is from RNAcentral.
AGAGUUUGAUCCUGGCUCAGGAUGAACGCUAGCGAUAGGCUUAACACAUGCAAGUCGAGGGGCAGCACGGAAUAGCAAUAUUUUGGUGGCGACCGGCGCACGGGUGAGUAACACGUAUGCAACCUACCCAUGACAGUGGAAUAACCCGUCGAAAGGCGGACUAAUACCGCAUAAUAAAGGGAACCUGCAUGGGUUCUUUUUCAAAGAUUUAUCGGUCAUGGAUGGGCAUGCGUUCCAUUAGGUAGUUGGCGGGGCAACGGCCCACCAAGCCUGCGAUGGAUAGGGGUUCUGAGAGGAAGGUCCCCCACACUGGUACUGAGACACGGACCAGACUCCUACGGGAGGCAGCAGUGAGGAAUAUUGGUCAAUGGGCGAGAGCCUGAACCAGCCAAAUCGCGUGAAGGAUGAAGGUAUUAUGUAUUGUAAACUUCUUUUACAGGGGAAUAAAGUGCGGGACGUGUCCCGUUUUGUAUGUACCCUGAGAAUAAGGAUCGGCUAACUCCGUGCCAGCAGCCGCGGUAAUACGGAGGAUCCAAGCGUUAUCCGGAUUUAUUGGGUUUAAAGGGUGCGUAGGCGGGGAAUCAAGUCAGCGGUGAAAGUUUGCGGCUCAACCGUAAAAUUGCCGUUGAAACUGGUUCUCUUGAGUGUAGAUGAGGUGGGUGGAAUUCGUGGUGUAGCGGUGAAAUGCUUAGAUAUCACGAAGAACUCCAAUUGCGUAGGCAGCUCACUGGGCUACAACUGACGCUGAGGCACGAAGGUGCGGGGAUCAAACAGGAUUAGAUACCCUGGUAGUCCGCACAGUAAACGAUGAAUACUAGCUGUUGGCGAUACACUGCCAGUGGCACAGCGAAAGCGUUAAGUAUUCCACCUGGGGAGUACGCCGGCAACGGGAAACUCAAAGGAAU